GAGUUUGAUCCUGGCUCAGAACGAACGCUGGCGGCAGGCCUCAAACAUGCAAGUCUAGGGGGUGUAGCAAUACAUCACCGGCGGACGGGUGCGUAACACGUGGGAAUAUACCUUUUGGUUCGGAACAACGCAGGGAAACUUGCGCUAAUACCGAAUGUGCCCUUACGGGGAAAGAUUUAUCGCCAAAGGAUUAGCCCGCGUCCGAUUAGCUAGUUGGUGAGGUAAUGGCUCACCAAGGCUCCGAUCGGUAGCUGUUCUGAGAGGAAGAUCAGCCACACUGGGACUGAGACACGGCCCAGACUCCUACGGGAGGCAGCAGUUGGGAAUCUUGGACAAUGGGGGAAACCCUGAUCCAGCCAUGCCGCGUGAGUGAUGAAGGCCUUCGGUUGUAAACU
This 395-nucleotide ribosomal RNA is filed under the name uncultured Alphaproteobacteria bacterium. RNAcentral describes it as "bacterial SSU rRNA". It matches the Rfam family "Bacterial small subunit ribosomal RNA", at positions 9 to 432 of the family's 1533-position model. The record is from RNAcentral. Lineage: Bacteria; Pseudomonadati; Pseudomonadota; Alphaproteobacteria.